AGGGGUAGUCCAGUGCUAAAUUGUCGCAGCCUUGAAAAUAUUCUGCUUCGUUAUUUCGGGCACUCCACAGAUUCUGUUGCGAAGGCAGCCAUCUUUAGUUCGUCUUUCCUAGAGAGGUAAUGUAUCUUUAAUUCUUACGGAAUUAUGGAAUUUUGAAUUCAUCUUUCCUAGAGAGGUAAUAUAUCUUUAAUACUUUUUUUCUUUUUUCUUUUUUUUUUUUUGAGACGGAGUCUGGCUUUGUGGCCCAGGCUGGAGUGCAGUGGCGCGAUCUCGGCUCACUGCAAACUCCGCCUCCCGGGUUCACGCCUUUCUCCUGCCUCAGCCUCCCGAGUAGCUGGGACUACAGGCGCCCGCCACCAUGCCCAGCUAAUUUUUUGUGUUUUUAGUAGAGACGGGGUUUCACCGUGUUAGCCAGGAUGGUCUCGAUCUCCUGACCCCGUGAUCCACCCGCCUCAGCUUCCCAAAGUGCUGGGAUUACAGGCCCGAGCCACCACGCCCGGCUCUUUAAUUCUUAUGGAAUUAUUGAAUUUUGAUUUUGUACUCUACACUAAUGUACUGUAUAUUUUAUAUAGAUGCCUAAUAUGUAGCUUACUAAUAAAAUACAUUAAAGUUUCAAUACCUAUUUUGAGUAGCAUUUCAAUCCAAAUUUUUCUAUAUGUGUAAAUAAAAAGGAUAAUUUAUCUGAUUGAUAACAAUAAAGCAAAGCAAAAGAUAAAAAGGUACACAUGAAAAAUAACAAAAGCCAAACUUUUAUUUCUCAUGAAAACAUAUUAAAAUAUCUGUAUAGAUUAACUAUAUACGUGUUAAAACAAUUUAGCACACUUACAAGCAAAGUAUCUAAAUUAAUUGUUGUUGUAAUUGUUGAUGUGAUACUACUGUUGAACAGGAUGAGAAAUUGUAUGAUAACACUCUUGAUAAAAAAUAAAGAAAUGAUACCUGUG
Molecule: long non-coding RNA, 941 nt
Organism: Homo sapiens (human)
Lineage: Eukaryota; Metazoa; Chordata; Mammalia; Primates; Hominidae
Source: Ensembl